Molecule: ribosomal RNA, 253 nt
Filed under: uncultured bacterium
Lineage: Bacteria
Description: partial 16S ribosomal RNA
Rfam family: Bacterial small subunit ribosomal RNA
Source: RNAcentral
UACAGGGGGGGCAAGCGUUGUUCGGAAUUACUGGGCGUAAAGGGUCUGUAGGUGGCUUACUAAGUCAGACGUGAAAGCCCUGGGCUUAACCUAGGAAGUGCAUUCGAAACUCCCGAGCUUGAGUUCUGGAGAGGAAGGCGGAAUUCUCGGUGUAGAGGUGAAAUUCGUAGAUAUCGAGAGGAACACCGGUGGCGAAGGCGGCCUUCUGGACAGUGACUGACGCUGAGACGCGAAAGCGUGGGGAGCAAACAGG